Molecule: ribosomal RNA, 440 nt
Filed under: uncultured bacterium
Lineage: Bacteria
Description: bacterial SSU rRNA
Rfam family: Bacterial small subunit ribosomal RNA
Source: RNAcentral
ACGCGAAGAACCUUACCAAGGCUUGACAUGACCGAGAACACGCUAGAGAUAGCGGACUCUUUGGACACUCGGUUACAGGUGGUGCAUGGUUGUCGUCAGCUCGUGUCGUGAGAUGUUGGGUUAAGUCCCGCAACGAGCGCAACCCUCGUCGCAUGUUGCCAGCACGUUAUGGUGGGGACUCAUGUGAGACUGCCGGGGUCAACUCGGAGGAAGGUGGGGAUGACGUCAAAUCAUCAUGCCCCUUAUGUCUUGGGCUUCACGCAUGCUACAAUGGCCGGUACAAAGGGCUGCGAUGUCGUAAGGCGGAGCAAAUCCCAAAAAGCCGGUCUCAGUUCGGAUUGAGGUCUGCAACUCGACCUCAUGAAGUCGGAGUCGCUAGUAAUCGCAGAUCAGCAACGCUGCGGUGAAUACGUUCCCGGGCCUUGUACACACCGAAGGGC